UACGGGAGGCAGCAGUGGGGAAUAUUGCACAAUGGGCGAAAGCCUGAUGCAGCUAUGCCGCGUGUAUGAAGAAGGCCUUAGGGUUGUAAAGUACUUUCAUCGGGGAGGAAAAACAAAACUAAUAAUUUUAUUUCUUGACGUUACCCGAAAAAGAAGCACCGGCUAGCUCCGUGCCAGCAGCCGCGGUAAUACGGAGGGUGCUAGCGUUAAUCAGAAUUACUGGGCGUAAAGAGCACGUAGGUGGUUUUUUUAAGUCAGAUGUGAAAUCCCUGGGCUUAACCUAGGAACUGCAUUUUGAAACUGAAAUACUAGAGUAUCGUAGAGGGAGGUAGAAUUCUAGGUGUAGCGGUGAAAUGCGUAGAUAUCUGGAGGAAUACCUGUGGCGAAAGCGGCCUCCUAAACGAAUACUGACACUGAGGUGCGAAAGCGUGGGGAGCAAACAGGGAUUAGAUACC
This 455-nucleotide ribosomal RNA is filed under the name uncultured bacterium. RNAcentral describes it as "bacterial SSU rRNA". It matches the Rfam family "Bacterial small subunit ribosomal RNA", at positions 340 to 786 of the family's 1533-position model. The record is from RNAcentral.